AUCCUACGGGACGCAGCAGUAGGGAAUUUUCGUCAAUGGGCGCAAGCCUGAACGAGCAAUGCCGCGUGAACGAGGAAGGUCUUCGGAUCGUAAAGUUCUGUUGAAGGGGAAAAAGAGCGGAGAGAGGAAAUGGUCUCCGAUUGAUAUUACCCUUCGAGGAAGGCACGGCUAACUACGUGCCAGCAGCCGCGGUAAUACGUAGGCGGCGAGCGUUAUCCGGAAUGAUUGGGCGUAAAGGGUGCGGAGGCGGCCUGCUAAGUCUGGAGUGAAAGGUAACGGCUCAACCGGAACGG
This 293-nucleotide ribosomal RNA is filed under the name uncultured bacterium. RNAcentral's name for it is "partial 16S ribosomal RNA". It matches the Rfam family "Bacterial small subunit ribosomal RNA", at positions 335 to 621 of the family's 1533-position model. The record is from RNAcentral.